GAUGAACGCUGGCGGCGUGCCUAAUACAUGCAAGUCGAGCGAACAGAUGAGGAGCUUGCUCCUCUGACGUUAGCGGCGGACGGGUGAGUAACACGUGGAUAACCUACCUAUAAGACUGGGAUAACUUCGGGAAACCGGAGCUAAUACCGGAUAAUAUAUUGAACCGCAUGGUUCAAUAGUGAAAGACGGUUUUGCUGUCACUUAUAGAUGGAUCCGCGCCGCAUUAGCUAGUUGGUAAGGUAACGGCUUACCAAGGCAGCGAUGCGUAGCCGACCUGAGAGGGUGAUCGGCCACACUGGAACUGAGACACGGUCCAGACUCCUACGGGAGGCAGCAGUAGGGAAUCUUCCGCAAUGGGCGAAAGCUUGACGGAGCAACGCCGCGUGAGUGAUGAAGGUCUUCGGAUCGUAAAACUCUGUUAUUAGGGAAGAACAAAUGUGUAAGUAACUAUGCACGUCUUGACGGUACCUAAUCAGAAAGCCACGGCUAACUACGUG
This 497-nucleotide ribosomal RNA is filed under the name uncultured bacterium. RNAcentral describes it as "partial 16S ribosomal RNA". It matches the Rfam family "Bacterial small subunit ribosomal RNA", at positions 28 to 507 of the family's 1533-position model. The record is from RNAcentral.